Molecule: long non-coding RNA, 146 nt
Organism: Amblyraja radiata (thorny skate)
Lineage: Eukaryota; Metazoa; Chordata; Chondrichthyes; Rajiformes; Rajidae
Exons: 3
Source: RefSeq, a predicted model, not a curated record
UGUAGGCUGCCGAUCAGGCACCAUUCCUUGCGGAAUGCCAUUUCCAGCCUUUUUCUAAUCCGAAUUAUCACCUUUAUUUUCCCUCUCUAAUUUCUGCCUUGGAUAAACAUAGAAAAUAGGUGCAGGAGUAGGCCAUUCGGCCCUUC